GGCUCAGAUUGAACGCUGGCGGCAUGCCUUACACAUGCAAGUCGAACGGCAGCACGGGUGCUUGCACCUGGUGGCGAGUGGCGAACGGGUGAGUAAUACAUCGGAACGUACCUUAUCGUGGGGGAUAACGCAGCGAAAGCUGUGCUAAUACCGCAUACGCCCUGAGGGGGAAAGCGGGGGAUCGAAAGACCUCGCGCGAUUAGAGCGGCCGAUGCCUGAUUAGCUUGUUGGUGGGGUAAAAGCCCACCAAGGCGACGAUCAGUAGCUGGUCUGAGAGGACGAUCAGCCACACUGGGACUGAGACACGGCCCAGACUCCUACGGGAGGCAGCAGUGGGGAAUUUUGGACAAUGGGGGAAACCCUGAUCCAGCAAUGCCGCGUGAGUGAAGAAGGCCUUCGGGUUGUAAAGCUCUUUUGUCAGGGAAGAAACACCGGCUCUAACACAGUCCGGGAAUGACGGUACCUGAAGAAUAAGCACCGGCUAACUACGUG
This 492-nucleotide ribosomal RNA is filed under the name uncultured bacterium. Its description in RNAcentral is "bacterial SSU rRNA". It matches the Rfam family "Bacterial small subunit ribosomal RNA", at positions 21 to 507 of the family's 1533-position model. The record is from RNAcentral.